ACCUGCACAAUGAGCUCGGACAAAUAUAAAAGGACUAUUGUUCACAGGCUAGACUUACAGGACCGCUCGGAGCCCCUCCCGCCGACUGUUUCGCUCGGAGCUCAGAUUCCACACAGCACAGAGUGACCACAACGCUGCGUAAAGUUAGUAUCCAAACUGUGCAGAAGUUUGAAAAGAAAGAGGAGUUCAAGUGAAGGCUUCAGAGUUGAUUGCUGCUAUCUUGCUGUGAGCAGUAGGAGCACAAAGACGGGAGGUUCCUGGCUUGGCUGAGCUCGGAGGCUGACAGCUCGGGGAAGCUCUGGGCAGAGAGCUGCAGCUCGAGGGAUUCUGGAGGUCAAAACGUUAUGCAGCAUUCACCAGCGGGGCCAGCAACUGCAACGCUGGGACACGGGUCGGGGAGCAGAGAGUGAGGCAGCACUGAGGCAUGCUGGGAAGAAGCCCCUUGAAACCAGUGGGUCUUGGAGGAAACUGAAAAUCUGAGCUUGAAAAGAAACUAAAUAACUUGGAAUCGAGAGACAUUUCUUCGCGAGCAGCUGCCUCGACCAAAC
Long non-coding RNA from Hippoglossus stenolepis (Pacific halibut), 548 nucleotides. RefSeq lists it as uncharacterized. NCBI's taxonomy places the organism in Eukaryota, Metazoa, Chordata, Actinopteri, Pleuronectiformes, Pleuronectidae. The transcript has 3 exons. The record is from RefSeq and is a predicted model, not a curated record.